CUGGCGUAACCCACCCAGAAGGCGCCGCCAUAUCCAGUGGCCCAUUUCUUCAUCAUCUUCAAUGGAGGGCUCUCCAGAAGUGGCUGCCGGGGCCAGCUCACCAGCGUCCAGGGGAGGUGGACCAAGCCCGGACCGGGGCUGUCAAGAACAAUCUGCACCUAGAGCCGCCAGCGAGGAUCCCCCAGUCGCCUCCAGAGUCCGCGGG
This is a long non-coding RNA of Bufo gargarizans (Asiatic toad), 205 nucleotides long. RefSeq lists it as uncharacterized. The transcript has 3 exons. The record is from RefSeq and is a predicted model, not a curated record. NCBI's taxonomy places the organism in Eukaryota, Metazoa, Chordata, Amphibia, Anura, Bufonidae.